Musa acuminata subsp. malaccensis (wild Malaysian banana) is the source of this 85-nucleotide non-coding RNA. Lineage: Eukaryota; Viridiplantae; Streptophyta; Magnoliopsida; Zingiberales; Musaceae. The record is from Rfam.
GGGCGAUGAUUACAACUUAUCCGCGCUUCUGAUUUUUAUUCAUGAAGAAUAACGGAAAAUUGGUUGAAUUUCUUGAUAUGAGCCC